RNAcentral lists this long non-coding RNA (453 nucleotides) under Actinidia chinensis (golden kiwifruit). RNAcentral describes it as "long non-coding RNA (ACHI_LNC007592)". The record is from RNAcentral. Lineage: Eukaryota; Viridiplantae; Streptophyta; Magnoliopsida; Ericales; Actinidiaceae.
AACCUCGAAAUCAGAAGCCCAAUUCAAAAGAGUAAGGAAGAGUGGUGGUAGCCGGAUGAUGAAGAACUCGCCGGAGCAGUCUCUCUCUGUCUCUAAAUUCCUUUUAUGGAUUUGGUUUUAGGGGAAGAAAAUGGCAUCUUGAAAGUGUUGAGAGAGAGAGUCACCAAACCUCGAAAUCAAAAGCCCAACCUCGAAAUCAAAAGCCCAAUUCAAAAGAGUAAGGAAGAGUGGUGGUGGCCGGAUGAUGAAGAACUUGCCGGAGCAGUCUCUCUCUGUCUCUAAAUUCCUUUUAUGGAUUUGGUUUUAGGGGAAGAAAAUGGCAUCUUGAAAGUGUCACCAAACCCAGUUUCAGCUCCAGCUUCAUCGCCAGACCCAGCUUGAACUUUGCCCUCUGUCUCUUAAUUCCUUUUUCUGGAUUUGGUUUGAAGAGAAGGAAAUGGCAUCUUGAAUGUG